AUGGAUAUGAUGAUCCUUUCCCCAAAUGAUCGACAAUGAACAAACUGUGCGAUUUUUUGUUUCCGUUUACGGAUUCCAAGCCAGACGUCUGAUCCUU
Molecule: small nucleolar RNA, 97 nt
Organism: Zostera marina
Lineage: Eukaryota; Viridiplantae; Streptophyta; Magnoliopsida; Alismatales; Zosteraceae
Rfam family: Small nucleolar RNA Z103
About the family: This family consists of several snoRNA Z103 sequences which are members of the C/D class of snoRNA which contain the C (UGAUGA) and D (CUGA) box motifs. This family seems to be found exclusively in plants.
Source: Rfam